CUGACAUGAUAAAGCUUGACAUGGCACAAAGUAACUUGUGGCAAAACCAAGGCUAUGCACUAGAGUAUGAGCAUUCCUAAAGGGAAGGAUAAAAAUAAAUAGUAAAAUAAUCUCUUUCCAUGCUGAAGCUGACAUCCCUCAAGAAUUUGUGUGGAUAAGAAGAGUUCUCCAGUCUGGAAAUAUGAAGAGGACCUCCAAAUCAAGGCAAAGUUGUCAAAUUUCACAUGGGAUUGAAUGAAAACAAUAUAUCCUUCACUACUACUUAAGCAAGGUGACUGAAUUUCAGGUUCAUUAAAUAAGUUGUACAGAUGCCUGUCCAGGGUACUCCACUGGCAAGUCUUCACCAAGCUGAGCUGAAUGAAAACCAAUAAUGUUGCAAUAUAGAGAGGAAGUGUUCAUAUAGAAGACCAGAGCAUUCAUUCUCCUGAAACUUGUUUUUAAGCAUUCUCUAAAGAGAAUGUCACCCUGUAACAUGACUACAGUAUGAACUUGCAGUCCAGAUUCAUUAAGCCUCUGAAAGAGUGUGCCAGAAUAUAGGGUUAAAGGUCUGAGUCUUUGCAGCUGGAAGGGGCUGAACAAUCCUCAGGUACAGAACUUCCUAAACUACCCAACAAAAUGAACAGAAAAAAUCAACAGCUCCUGCAGUACACUUGACACAAAGAGAAGUCAAGGUAAAGUCUUGUCAUUCAGAGCUCCAACCUGAAGAGUGGGAAGAAAACAGAGCAUUGUUAUUCACAAAAUUAGUUAGCACCAUUUUUGUCAGCAAAGUAGUUACUAAUGCAAAUAUUUAAUCUACCAACUCUGGUUAUGCAAAUUAAUUCCCCAGAGAAGGAGUCAUAGUUGCUGUUUUAGGCUUUCUGUUGCAAGCAUUAUGUUAGUCACAACUGAUUUUGAAGAUUUCAGUGUCAGCUUGUGAAAUGUAAAGACUUUUUAUAGGAAAGAGAAGGCCUUAUCUCCAUACAAACAUGGCACUGAUUUCACUAAAUCAGCUCUCCUGGCUACAACAUAGCAGAAAAUAGGACAUCAGCUUUACUUCCUGUCACAGGAUAAUUGAACCCCAUCUCCAGGCAGGCCCAAAGAUGUACAAAGGAAAGAUGAUAAUCAUUAUUUCAUCUAGGAUAGAAACGUAUUGGAUUUUCUACCUUUCUAAGCUUUGUGUGUCUGAGUAUGUGUAUGAUAUGAUCUCUGACUCAAUUUGUUUACCUUCCAGCUCUGCUCCCAUAACAUCUGGUACAUUUAAUACAGAGAUCCCUUCAUGCCAAUGGACUGUACAGUAGGAUAUAAAUAUUAACCAGACUAGUAAAAUGUAUUUUCCACUCCUGUUCUCAGUAAUGAAGUUGAAUUAAAAAAGACAGCCUUAAGUGACAUAUCCUUUCUAACCUACUGCUGUUCUACUUUGUAUUCAUAAGUCUUCUGCAAUUGCACCUGCUCUGAUUCAGUAUUGUGUCAAGAAAGCAAUAUUAACCAACUGCUUCUUUUCUCUGCAUAUUAAGUAGAGUUAAAAGAACAAUACCAUGGUAAUGAGAUAAGGAAUUCCUGCUCUGGGAACUGGCAACAUAUUUAUAAGGUGGUGGGCAGAAAUAACUGUUUCUGAAAAUACAGUACUUAUCUAUUGUAACUCCAGUGUUCUGUUUGUGCUACAAGAUUUGGUAGAUAUAAAAGUCUGGAGCUUCAGUGGUUUCAAACAAAACAUGUCCAUUUUAGGCCAGCACAGACACAUGGAUUAGAAUAUGCAUUAUUGUUAAGUCAAUAAUAAAAAUCCCUUCCACUUUGUAGAGGAUUAUUGCAGGUAUUAAGGAAACUCAAGGCUUGGUGGAGUCUGUCAUCGGGACCAUUUGUCUUUGUUAGCCACUUUCACUAGCUAUGCUGUUCUCAGCUAGGGCUGUUCCUCAGCUUAAUCACCACAUUGCUUGGACUGAGUUGCAACAAAGCUAUCAAACCUGAGGAGAUGCUAGACUAUCUGUUCUGCUUUAAGCACAGAGGUAUCUUCUACUGUGAUUCCAAAGCCUGAUGGUUUUAUAUGCUUUGUAUGCUGUCCUGUUAUACCUGGCAUGGAAGGCAACAAACAGGAAGAGGACUGGAAAACCAUGGUGGCCCUUCCUUUUUUUUUGUGUCUUCUGCCUUUUG
Molecule: non-coding RNA, 2127 nt
Organism: Cyanistes caeruleus (blue tit)
Lineage: Eukaryota; Metazoa; Chordata; Aves; Passeriformes; Paridae
Source: RefSeq, a predicted model, not a curated record